This 960-nucleotide ribosomal RNA is filed under the name Mycoplasmoides pneumoniae. Its description in RNAcentral is "bacterial SSU rRNA". It matches the Rfam family "Bacterial small subunit ribosomal RNA", at positions 109 to 1059 of the family's 1533-position model. Lineage: Bacteria; Bacillati; Mycoplasmatota; Mycoplasmoidales; Mycoplasmoidaceae. The record is from RNAcentral.
AGUAACACGUAUCCAAUCUACCUUAUAAUGGGGGAUAACUAGUUGAAAGACUAGCUAAUACCGCAUAAGAACUUUGGUUCGCAUGAAUCAAAGUUGAAAGGACCUGCAAGGGUUCGUUAUUUGAUGAGGGUGCGCCAUAUCAGCUAGUUGGUGGGGUAACGGCCUACCAAGGCAAUGACGUGUAGCUAUGCUGAGAAGUAGAAUAGCCACAAUGGGACUGAGACACGGCCCAUACUCCUACGGGAGGCAGCAGUAGGGAAUUUUUCACAAUGAGCGAAAGCUUGAUGGAGCAAUGCCGCGUGAACGAUGAAGGUCUUUAAGAUUGUAAAGUUCUUUUAUUUGGGAAGAAUGACUUUAGCAGGUAAUGGCUAGAGUUUGACUGUACCAUUUUGAAUAAGUGACGACUAACUAUGUGCCAGCAGUCGCGGUAAUACAUAGGUCGCAAGCGUUAUCCGGAUUUAUUGGGCGUAAAGCAAGCGCAGGCGGAUUGAAAAGUCUGGUGUUAAAGGCAGCUGCUUAACAGUUGUAUGCAUUGGAAACUAUUAAUCUAGAGUGUGGUAGGGAGUUUUGGAAUUUCAUGUGGAGCGGUGAAAUGCGUAGAUAUAUGAAGGAACACCAGUGGCGAAGGCGAAAACUUAGGCCAUUACUGACGCUUAGGUUUGAAAGUGUGGGGAGCAAAUAGGAUUAGAUACCCUAGUAGUCCACACCGUAAACGAUAGAUACUAGCUGUCGGGGCGAUCCCCUCGGUAGUGAAGUUAACACAUUAAGUAUCUCGCCUGGGAGGUACAUUCGCAAGAAUGAAACUCAAACGGAAUUGACGGGGACCCGCACAAGUGGUGGAGCAUGUUGCUUAAUUCGACGGUACACGAAAAACCUUACCUAGACUUGACAUCCUUGGCAAAGUUAUGGAAACAUAAUGGAGGUUAACCGAGUGACAGGUGGUGCAUGGUUGUCGUCAGC